AUUUCUAGAACAUGGCCAACAACCCUCCUUUCUUUCCUCCUCUUUUCGUCGCCUCCAAAGGAAGAAGCCGAAGGGAGAAAGAAACAAUCCUUUCAUUAUAUCCAAAACAUGAAGAAGGUACAACGUACAAUAGUAGAGGGACAGAGACAUCCUGAAACAGAUAAAGCCGGGAAAAAGAACUGAAGACAGUAGUGGAGGUGGUGCUGUUUGAAGAACAUGAAGGGAAGAGAGGACGGGUAAGGAAGGACCAGAUGGUCCCCCUCGGGGAACCGGGCCCGGCCAGCGGACUGCCAGUUGCCCACCUUUAGAUCUAUUAGCUCUAAUUUGCUUUGUAGUCGGAUUGUCUGCCAAAAAUCAUGUACACAGUGGAGGGGGAGGCGGCACAGGAGACAAAAGGUCAACGUUUGAAAGCAAGGUCCUUAUCAGCAUGCACACUCCAAAUCCAGCAUCCUCCAAGGACAUGCUUUUUAUUUUGUUCAAUUUAUCUUACAUCUCUGCCAAGCGGUUGAACUGCUGCACGGCACAUAUUAAGGAGGCUGUCACUUUUUUUCUCAUGGCUCCCCCGGCCCCAAUAAUCAAGGGAAUUGUUAUGUGAUUCACAGAUACCAAAGGACUGCUUGCUCCUAAUUGCAAGAACCUCAAAAAAAAAAUGCCUGCUAUUCAGCUGUCAGUAUAAAGCUGCUUCCAAGUCAGAGCCUUUAUCCAUUUGGAAAAUGAAUUACGAUUGGUUCUAACCAGAGUAGAGGGAUCCCAUUUAAGAUCACUAGAGAAAUCUGGCAGCUGAUGUAGAUGGUUGCGUCAACUGAAAACACAUGCCGCAGUCAAUAUAACAUCUUUCCUGGCAGUUGCCAUGCCAUGUAUUAUAAAAUACAGAAGGUGGCAAAUAUCCAAGAGCCACAAGGAUGUCCUUGAGAAAAAUAAUGGUGAUGGUUAGGAAGUCAAGGGUUUGGGCAGGUAAGCUAGUUAGGUCAAGGGUUUCAGCUGGGGGACUAGUUUAAAAGUUGUGGUUUAUACUGUUUUAAUUGUUUUAAUUUGCCUUUUGUUUGAAUUGCUAUAUUGUGUGUUGAGGCCUUGGCCUUUGUAAGCCACAUCGAGUCCUUCGGGAGAUGCUAGCGGGGUACAAAUAAAAUUUAAUAAUAAUAAUAAUAAUAAUAAUAAUAAAAAUGGGUGAUCGGGUUUAAAAAAUAUUUCAUUAGAUAGGCUGUUUUGUAUUAAAUCGUAUGGCAGAGUUUCAACCUGCAGGUAACCAAGAAAUCUUUAUUGGACUAUUGGAUUAUGACUUGUUAGGAUUACAACCUAAUGGGGAUUAUGACCUGUUAGGAUCAUAAUCUAUUGGGUAGCAGAGUUUCAAAAGUAUUCCUUUAGUUUAUUGGGCAACUGAAGAUCACGGGGCGUGUAAAUAUCUUGUUUUUAUUUGAUGCUCUCAGCAAAGAUUCAAGUAAUCUUAUUUAAAAUAGUUCUCUUUCAUAACAAUCAACUUCCAAGGGACUAAAAGCCACAACUGUCUUCCAACGUUUAACACUGUCUUCUGUAUUCAAACAGACUCAAGCCUCAACUGUCUCUAACUCCUACUCCUGGCUUCUGUAUUCAAACAGACUCAAGCCUCAACUGUCUCUAACUCCUACUCCUGGCUUCUGUAUUCAAACAGACUCAAGCCUCAACUGUCUUCUAACUCCUAUCACUGGCUUCUGUAUUCAAACAGACUCAAGCCUCAACUGUGUCUAACUCCUACCCCUAGCUUCUUUAUUCAAACAGACUCAAGCCUCAACUGUGUCUAACUCCUACCCCUAGCUUCUUUAUUCAAACAGACUCAAGCCUCAACUGUCUUCUAACUCCUGCCACUGGCUUCUGUAUUCAAACAGACUCAAGCCUCAACUGUCUUCUAACUCCUACCACUGGCUUCUGUAUUCAAACAGACUCAAGCCUCAACUGUCUUCUAACUCUUACCACUGGCUUCUGUAUUCAAACAGACUCAAGCCUCAACUGUCUCUAACUCCUAACACUGGCUUCUGUGCUCAAGCAGACUCAAGCCUCAACUGUCAUUCCUCAACUGUCUUUCUAAACAGUCACUGAACUAGUCACAUGAUCUGCAGCCCCUUCCACUGCUUCAAGUACACAGAGCUAAGAAAACUGCAAACCAAAGAAGACAUACACUUCAAGAAAUAAACUGAGACAUUAUAAAACAGACAAACAUUAAAUAGAGAAGACUUGAGAAGACUGCUAUCUCCAACAAUCUUGUUUUUCUUUAUAAAAACAUUGGCUGAUAUGUUCUCUGCUUUGGAACUAAUUUCCGCAAAUGCCUAACUCCAAAUUUAAACUCAAGUCAUCUCCUCUUAGUCAGGAAAACAAACUAAGAUGACUCUUUACACGUGUCCUGGUCCUUGUUUUUCCUAAAUGUGUAUCUGACUUCAAUCGUAUUAUCAAUGGCCAGGUCCUGUCCUAUUUUGUAGCUCGACAAAUUUGAGUGUCACAUUUUUAAAACAUUAUAAAGAAUUAGGCAGGCCAGAGGUAAGGAUAAACAUCUAAGGAGUUUGCUUACAGGCGUUUUAAUCUCCCCCUAAGGCUGAUUUUUACGAGCCCCCUUUUUAAUGUAAAGCAAGGGUAAGUUCUUCAAAUAACUACCAUGUCUGUACACUUACCUAAGGCAGGCACUAAUGAGGAAUGGCUUUGUCCAAAUCUUGUUGUCAUUUGAUUGGUCAGCACUACCUGAAAGUGAGAGGCAAGAAAUCUACAUGGAAUAUAGGCAAUAAAGAUGGAGUAAGGGAGAGAAAAGCCCAAUACAAUUGUAAUUAAUUAAAAUAUCCUGUCUUAGUUAAUCACGUCAAUUCAGCGCUCAGGUAACCAGAAGUUAAUAAUGGCACCUCAGACACAUUGGACUAUUGGAUUAUGACCUAUUAGGAUCACAACCUAAUGGGGAUUAUGACCUGUUAGGAACAUAACCUAUUGGGUACCAGAAUUUCAAAGGUGUUCCUUUAGUAUAUUGAGUAAUGGAAGAUCACUGGGCACAUAAACAUCUUGUUUCUAUUCGGCAUUUUAGUUUGUAUCUUUGACUUAUAGUCUUUAAAAGUCUUGUCAAAAACUAUAUUGCUCUUCCAUAACAGUCUACUUCCAAGGGACCCAAGCCUCAACUGUCUUCUGAUUCCUAACACUGGCUUCUGCACUCAAACAGACCCAAGCCUCAACUGUCUUCUAACUCCUAACACUGGCUUCUGCACUCAAACAGACUCAAGCCUCAACUGUCUUCUAACUCCUAACACUGGCGUCUGCACUCAAGCCUCAACUAUCUUCUGACUCCUAACACUGAGUUCUGCACUCAAACAGACUCAAGCCUCAACUAUCUUCUAACUCCUAACACUGGGUUCUGCACUCAAACAGACUCAAGCCUCAACUGUCUUCUAACUCCUAACACUGGCGUCUGCACUCAAGCCUCAACUAUCUUCUAACUCCUAACACUGAGUUCUGCACUCAAACAGAUUCAAGCCUCAACUGUCUUCUAACUCCUAACACUGGCUUCUGCAUUCAAACAGACUCAAGCCUCAAUUGUUUUCUAACUCCUAACACUGGCUUCUGCACUCAAACAGACUCAAGCCUCAACUGUCUUCUAACUCCUAACACUGGCUUCUGCACUCAAACAGACUCAAGCCUCAACUGUCAUUCCUCAAAUUGUCAUCCUUAUAAAACAGACAAAACAUUUAAUAGGGGAGGCCUGAGAAAGUUGCGAUCUUCAAGACAUGGAAGGAGAUACUGGGCAGAGACAUGGAAGCACUUCUUCACAGACCAGUGCAUCUUGGGAGGUUGGACUGCAUAGCCCACGAGGUCUCUUCCAACUCUAUGAUUCUAUGACCACAGAACUGAACUUGCUACUGCAAGAUACUAAUGGAUAUAAAGAGAACUUGGACAUGUUCUUUUAGGAUAGGUGGGAUUAGGGUUUACCAUUUACUUCCAGGAUCAGACCCAACAUGCUUUUAAACACGAUAUUGUUAACACAGCAGAUAACCCGCAUUGCCUCUUGUCCUGCUUAUGGAUUUCCCAAUGGGAAACGUGGAUGUCUAUUGUUUGCAGCACCAUUUCUGAACUAAAAAGAAUUUUGGUUGGAUUCUGCCGACUUCUUUUCUAGUUAUGUUCUCUGGCUAACACCAUCCGCGUAACAGGACGUAUUGUCGAGGUUUAUUUUUAGCAGCAUGGCAAUAAAACGAGAAAUCCCAGCAGGCGUGCAAAAUUGCAGCUUAAGGAGGUGCCGAGUUACCUGGAAACAGGAGUGAGAGCGACAAGAACCAUUCCAGGACUUGCGUAAGCUUCAUUCCUGAACAAUCCUUGUCUGCGUGGUAGGAAUUCAGAAAAAAAAGCCACCUAUAAAUAGUUGUAGCUCAAGUGUGCCCCCCAUCGGUGCAACGCUAGCUGGAACUAUCAGCAUGCACAAUCCGUCCAAGCUGAGGCCAAAGCCUGACAGAACAAAAGAGCUUGCAAGCAAGAAGAAUGCAAGGAAGUGUUGUCAAAGGUUUUCAUGGCCAAAAUAACUGGGUUGCUGUGAGUUUUUCGGUCUGUAUGGCCAUGUUCUAAAACAUUCUCUCUUGAUGUUUCGCCCCCAUCUAUGGCAGGCAUCCUCAGAGGUUGUGAGGUCUGUUGGAAACUAGGCAAGUGGGGUUUAUAUAUCUGUGGAAUAUCCAGGGUGGAAGAAAGAACUCUUGUCUAUUGGAGGCAAGUGUGAAUGUUGCAAUUGGCUGCCUUGAUUAGCAUUGAAUGGCCUCUGGAUGGAUGCCUGCCAUAGAUGUGGGCAAAAUGUCAGGAGAGAAUGCUUCUAGAACAUGGCCAUACAGGCUGGAAAACUCACAGUAACCCAAUGCAAGGAAGCUAUCUUGCAGGCCUCUAUGUUGGAUUUUUCACGUUAUCUUUACCAUAUUCCUGUGGGUUUUUUUUUAUUUUGUACUGUGAAUUACUCAAACAUUGUGGCUAAUGAACAGACCACAAAAGUACAGUAGAGUCUCACUUAUCCAACACUCACUUAUCCAACGUUCUGGAUUAUCCAACGCAUUUUUGUAGUCAAUGUUUUCAAUAUAUCGUGAUAUUUUGGUGCUAAAUUCAUAAAUACAGUAAUUACUACAUAGCAUUACUGCAUAUUGAACUACUUUUUCUGCCAAAUUUGUUGUCUAACAUGAUGUUUUGGUGCUUCAUUUGUAAAAUCAUAACCUAAUUUGAUGUUUAAUAGGGUUUUCCUUAAUGCCUCCUUAUUAUCCAACAUAUUCGCUUAUCCAACAUUCUGCCGGCCCGUUUAUGUUGGAUAAGUGAGACUCUACUGUAGUAGCAAUUCAUAAAAACGAAAUUAUAUUUCUGUUGAUCACUGCAUCAUGUAAAUAGUGAUUUUCAUCCAACUUGGAAGGAACCUUUGGAUUAGUAUGCCUUUAAAGAUAGCCUAUAUAUAUUGUACAUUCAAUACAAACAUUCUGUUAAACAUUGUUUUUCAUUCAAUAAAGUUUGAAAACUCAAAAAAAUUACAUUAAUUGAGGCAUCAGUAGGUUAAAUGUUUUUGAAUAUUUACAUCAAGCUCAAAUUUAAGAUAAGACUGUCCAACUCUGAUCAAAUCAUUAUUCUCAUCUUCUUCGAUGUCAAUGUGGUUAUGUAUCCUUUUAAUAAUAAUAUAGUAAAAUAAUACAUGUAAUAAUAAUAAUAAAUACAGUAAAAUAAUACAAGUAAUAAUAAAUAGAGUAAAAUAAUAAAUGCAAUAAUAAUAAUAAGAUCAGAGUGAAAUAAUAAAUGUAUUAUUAAUAAUAAUAAAAGUAGAGUAAAAUAAAUGUAAUACAGUAGAGUCUCACUUAUCCAACACUCACUUAUCCAACGUUCUGGAUUAUCCAAGCCAUUUUUGUAGUCAAUGUUUUCAAUAUAUAUUUUGGUGCUAAAUUCGUAAAUACAGUAAUUACAACAUAACAUUACUGCGUAUUGAACUACUUUUUCUGUCAAAUUUGUUGUAAAACAUGAUGUUUUGGUGUUUAAUUUGUAAAUUCAUAACCUAAUUUGAUGUUUAAUAGGCUUUUCCUUAAUCCCUCCUUAUUAUCCAAGAUAUUCGCUUAUUCAAGGUUCUGCCGACCCAUUUAGCUUGGAUAAGUGAGACUCUACUGUAAAUGAAAUUAUAUUUCUGUUGAUCACUGCAUCAUUUAAAAACUGAUUUUCAUCCAACUUGGAAGGAACGUUUGGAUUAGUAUGCCUUUAAGGAUAGCCUAAACAGUAGAGUCUCACUUAUCCAGGACUCGCUUAUCCAACAUUCUAGAUUAUCCAACACAUUUUUGUAAUCAAUGUUUUCAAUACAUUGUGAUAUUUUGGGGCUAAAUUCGUAAAUACAGUAAUUACAACAUAACAUUACUGCGUAUUGAACUACUUUUUCUGUCAAAUUUGUUGUAUAACAUGAUGUUUUGCUGCUUAAUUUGUAAAAUCAUAACCUAAUUUGAUGUUUAAUAGGCUUUUCCUUAAUCUCUCCUUAUUAUCCAAGAUAUACGCUUAUCCAAGCUUCUGCCAGCCUGUUUAGCUUGGAUAAGUGAGACUCUACUGUAUAUCAUUAUAUGGUAAUAUUAUUAGUAGUAUUACAUUUAAUAUAUAAUAUAUAAUUAAUAUUAUCAUAUUGUAUUAUUAUUAGUAUAAUAAUGUAUUGCAUUAUAAAAUUAUCAAUAUUUUAAUAAUAUACAAUAUAUUUAUAUAUAUGUGUGUGUGUGAGAGAGAGAGACUCUACUGUAAAUGAAAUUAUAUUUCUGUUGAUCACUGCAUCAUGUAAAAAUCGAUUUUCAUCCAACUUGGAAGGACCGUUUGGAUUAAUAUGCCUUUAAAGCAAGCCUACAUAUAUAAUCUGCAUGAAAAUCGCUUGCCUUUUUUGCACUCAUGCAGAGUGAUAAUCUGACACAUCCUUUGUAAGAUUUCUACUACCGGUUAAGCACGGAAAGUUGCAACGCUUUAAAAUUCAACAUUGUGUGGCUUCAGCACCCUUUGCUUUUAUUCUUAGAGAUUAAUAUGUUUCAGAGCAGGUCAGGAAAGGCAUGCUCUCUCAAGGAUAACCGAGACUAAGACUCAAUGUGAGAAAUGUUUUGAGCACCCAAAGACACAGGCAGCCAUCUGUCAGAGCAGUGGAAGCCGAAGAUCAUUAGCGGUGGUUAAUGAUUCUCGCAAGCAAAGCUGGCUUCUGCAGCUAGUGCAUAAUAACAAGCACCAAUCGGGAGAUGAAUCCCUCCAAUUUUAGAAUUUUGACGGAUUAAGGCAAGCAUGGCCAAACUUUGGCCCUCCGGGUGUUUGGGACUUCAACUCUUACAAUUCCUAACAACUUGAAUAGGAAAAGAUCUAUAUAUAUAAAAGGGUAAUGAAAUUUCGGCCUAGGCCAAAACAACAAAACUACACAACCCAGAAACACUAAACUUGGCAGCACAACCCCUCAUCCAUGCCUCUACGUUCAUACAACAAAAAGAAAAGGAAAAGUCCUAAUUAGAGGGAGAAGGAAUAAUUGUUUUUAUCCAGUUGCUGCCAGUUAGAAGGCUAAGCUCCUCCCACUUGGUCUCCUAGCAACCCACUCAGCCCAGGGGACAGGCAGAGUUAGGCCUCACUUAGACCUCUUCCACACUGCCUAUAAAAUACAAAUUAUCUGAUUUUAACUGGAUUAUAUGGCAGUGCAGAUUCAAGGCCCUUCCACACUGCUAUAUAACCCAUUUAUAAUCUUAUAUUAUCUGCUUUGAACUGGAUUAUCUUGACUCCACACUGCCAUAUAAUCCACUUCAGUGUGCAUUUUAUACAGCUGUGUAGAAGGGGCCUCAUAUAAUCCAGUUCUAAGCAGAUAAUAUAAGAUCCUUUAUUUCUCAUACCACCAUACUUUGCCACAGCAACGCAUGGCUGGGCACAGCUAGUAGUCCUAUAAUGCAAGCUUAGCACAUGUUCAUUGCAGGGCUUAACAUUCUCAUUUGGUUUAACUUCUUAUUUUACACUUGCGCCCACUCUUCCCCCUCCAGAAGCCAACCCCAAAACUCACAGCUAAUGUGUGAUCAUUGGCGAUACUGAUCAGCUGCUGAGCCAAGCCAUUCAACAGCCGUGUUCGCAGGGAGAGAUCUUCCCAGUCGUGUCGGAAAGGGAAGGCAAUGCCAUCAAUCACUACCAGCCGGACCUAAUGACAGGAUACAAACAGGCUGAAAAUGAAACGGGUGAGAAGCAAAUGGGACAGUUGCAAGGGGAGACAUGGUGGAAUGGUGAGUGAUCACAAACCUUCAUCUGGAUGUGUUUCUGCAAUAAGCCGGCAAUGCUGGACACAGGCUAC
This is a long non-coding RNA of Anolis carolinensis (green anole), 8278 nucleotides long. RefSeq lists it as uncharacterized. Lineage: Eukaryota; Metazoa; Chordata; Lepidosauria; Squamata; Anolidae. The record is from RefSeq and is a predicted model, not a curated record. The transcript is spliced from 4 exons.